This 76-nucleotide transfer RNA is filed under the name Gammaproteobacteria bacterium. RNAcentral's name for it is "tRNA-Phe". It matches the Rfam family "tRNA". From Rfam's summary of the family: Transfer RNA (tRNA) molecules are approximately 80 nucleotides in length. The record is from RNAcentral. Lineage: Bacteria; Pseudomonadati; Pseudomonadota; Gammaproteobacteria.
GGCUUGGUAGCUCAGUUGGUAGAGCAGUGGACUGAAAAUCCUCGUGUCGCCAGUUCGAUUCUGGCCCGAGCCACCA